RNAcentral lists this ribosomal RNA (410 nucleotides) under uncultured bacterium. Its description in RNAcentral is "bacterial SSU rRNA". It matches the Rfam family "Bacterial small subunit ribosomal RNA", at positions 359 to 764 of the family's 1533-position model. The record is from RNAcentral.
GAUCUUGCAAUGGGCGAAAGCCUGAUGGAGCAACGCCGCGUGUGUGAUGAAGGCUUUCGGGUCGUAAAGCACUGUUGUAUGGGAAGAAAAGUUAAGGUAGGGAAUGACCUUAGCCUGACGGUACCAUACCAGAAAGGGACGGCUAAAUACGUGCCAGCAGCCGCGGUAAUACGUAUGUCCCGAGCGUUAUCCGGAUUUAUUGGGCGUAAAGCGAGCGCAGACGGUUGGUUAAGUCUGAUGUGAAAGCCCGGAGCUCAACUCCGGAAAGGCAUUGGAAACUGGUUAACUUGAGUGCAGUAGAGGUAAGUGGAACUCCAUGUGUAGCGGUGGAAUGCGUAGAUAUAUGGAAGAACACCAGCGGCGAAGGCGGCUUACUGGACUGUAACUGACGUUGAGGCUCGAAAGUGUGG